UACGAAGGGGGCUAGCGUUGUUCGGAUUUACUGGGCGUAAAGCGCGUGUAGGCGGGUCGUUAAGUUGGGGGUGAAAUCCCGAGGCUCAACCUCGGAACUGCCUUCAAAACUGGCGACCUGGAGCAAAGAAGAGGCGAGUGGAAUUGCGAGUGUAGAGGUGAAAUUCGUAGAUAUUCGCAGGAACACCCGUGGCGAAGGCGGCUCUCUGGGACGGUACUGACGCUGAGACGCGAAAGCGUGGGGAGCGAACAGG
Molecule: ribosomal RNA, 253 nt
Filed under: uncultured bacterium
Lineage: Bacteria
Description: partial 16S ribosomal RNA
Rfam family: Bacterial small subunit ribosomal RNA
Source: RNAcentral